Mauremys reevesii (Reeves's turtle) is the source of this 238-nucleotide long non-coding RNA. RefSeq lists it as uncharacterized. NCBI's taxonomy places the organism in Eukaryota, Metazoa, Chordata, Testudines, Geoemydidae. The transcript is spliced from 3 exons. The record is from RefSeq and is a predicted model, not a curated record.
GUGGCUUCCUAGGAUUGCAAGAUUCUUGGCCAACAAACAGAAAGAGUUGCAGAGAUGUGUCCAACACUGAUCUAAGGUCUGCAACUCCUUGCAAACUCCUGCCUCUACUUUAAGCACUGUCAGCAGGACACCUUAGCUUUUCUGCAAUCUGAUUUUUGGAUAUGUUGAAACUCAUUACUCCCAAUGAUGUCAAUCGGAGCUGCAGGUGCUCAGCACUCCUAGAAAAGAAAAUCCAGCG